UACGUAGGGGGCUAGCGUUGUCCGGAUUUAUUGGGCGUAAAGAGCGUGUAGGCGGCCAGGUAGGUCUGCUGUGAAAACUCGAGGCUCAACCUCGAGACGUCGGCGGAAACCAUCUGGCUAGAGUCCGGAAGAGGAGAGUGGAAUUCCUGGUGUAGCGGUGAAAUGCGUAGAUAUCGGGAGGAACACCUAUGGCGAAAGCAGGCUUCUGGGCUAUCACUGACGCUGAUCUGCGAAAGCUAGGGGAGCAAACAGG
RNAcentral lists this ribosomal RNA (253 nucleotides) under uncultured bacterium. RNAcentral's name for it is "partial 16S ribosomal RNA". It matches the Rfam family "Bacterial small subunit ribosomal RNA", at positions 524 to 776 of the family's 1533-position model. The record is from RNAcentral.